CAUAUCAAUAAGCGGAGGAAAAGAAACUAACAAGGAUUCCCCUAGUAACUGCGAGUGAAGCGGGAAAAGCUCAAAUUUAAAAUCUGUCAGCCUUUGGCUGUCCGAGUUGUAAUCUAGAGAAGCGUUAUCCGCGCUGGACCGUGUACAAGUCUCCUGGAAUGGAGCGUCAUAGAGGGUGAGAAUCCCGUCUUUGACACGGACUGCCAGGGCUUUGUGAUGCGCUCUCAAAGAGUCGAGUUGUUUGGGAAUGCAGCUCAAAAUGGGUGGUAAAUUCCAUCUAAAGCUAAAUAUUGGCGAGAGACCGAUAGCGAACAAGUACCGUGAGGGAAAGAUGAAAAGAACUUUGGAAAGAGAGUUAAACAGUACGUGAAAUUGCUGAAAGGGAAACGCUUGAAGUCAGUCGCGUUAGCCAGGGAUCAACCUUGCUUUUGCUUGGUGUACUUUCUGGUUGACGGGUCAGCAUCAAUUUUGACUAUUGGAAAAAGAUCAGGGGAAUGUGGCAUCUUCGGAUGUGUUAUAACCCUUGGUUGCAUACAAUGGUUGGGAUUGAGGAACUCAGCACGCCGCAAGGCCGGGUUUUUAACCACGUACGUGCUUAGGAUGCUGGCAUAAUGGCUUUAAUCGACCCGUCUUGAAACACGGACCAAGGAGUCUAACAUGCCUGCGAGUGUUUGGGUGGAAAACCCGAGCGCGUAAUGAAAGUGAAAGUUGAGAUCCCUGUCGUGGGGAGCAUCGACGCCCGGACCAGACCUUUUGUGACGGUUCCGCGGUAGAGCAUGUAUGUUGGGACCCGAAAGAUGGUGAACUAUGCCUGAAUAGGGUGAAGCCAGAGGAAACUCUGGUGGAGGCUCGUAGCGAUUCUGACGUGCAAAUCGAUCGUCAAAUUUGGGUAUAGGGGCGAAAGACUAAUCGAACCAUCUAGUAGCUGGUUCCUGCC
Molecule: ribosomal RNA, 937 nt
Filed under: Cortinarius pseliocaulis
Lineage: Eukaryota; Fungi; Basidiomycota; Agaricomycetes; Agaricales; Cortinariaceae
Description: partial large subunit ribosomal RNA
Rfam family: Eukaryotic large subunit ribosomal RNA
Source: RNAcentral